This 2261-nucleotide ribosomal RNA is filed under the name human gut metagenome. RNAcentral's name for it is "bacterial LSU rRNA". It matches the Rfam family "Bacterial large subunit ribosomal RNA", at positions 466 to 2816 of the family's 2925-position model. The record is from RNAcentral.
CUAAAUACUACCCAGUGACCGAUAGCGUAUAGUACUGUGAAGGAAAGGUGAAAAGCACCCCGGGAGGGGAGUGAAAAAGAACCUGAAACCCUGUGCCUACAAGCACCUAGAGCGCGUCAAAGCGUGAUAGGGUACUUUUUGUAGAACGGUCCGGCGAGCGAUUGUAUGCAGCAAGGUUAAGGACUUAAGGUCUGGAGCCGAAGCGAAAGCGAGUUUGAAAAGGGCGUUAAGUUGCAUAUAAUGGGCCCGAAACCGGGUGACCUACCCAUGGUCAGGUUGAAGUGGAAGUAAAAUUCCAUGGAGGACCGAACCGACCUCCGUUGAAAAGGCGGCGGAUGAACUGUGGGUAGCGGAGAAAUUCCAAUCGAACCCGGAGAUAGCUGGUUCUCCCCGAAAUAGUUUUAGGACUAGCCUCAAGUUAGAUACCUGGAGGUAAAGCACUGAAUAGCCUAGCGGCCGAGAGGUUAGCGAAGCUUAUCAAACUCAGAAUGCCAGAGUAUUGAUGCUUGGGAGUCAGACAGUGUCAGAUAAAUGUCAUUGUCAAAAGGGAAACAGCCCAGAUCUACAGCUAAGGUCCCAAAGUCAGGUUAAGUGGAAAACGAUGUGAAGAUACGCAGACAACCAGGAUGUUGGCUCAGAAGCAGCCACUCAUUCAAAGAGUGCGUAAUAGCUCACUGGUCGAGCGUCUUUGCGCGGAGAAUUUAACGGGGCUAAACCUGACACCGAAGCUUAGGCAAUACAGCAAUGUAUUGGGUAGGGGAGCGUUGUAUACGCGGAGAAACAGUAGCGCAAGCGGCUGUGGAGUGUAUAGAAGUGAGAAUGCCGGAAUGAGUAGCGCGAAUGCAGUGAGAAUCUGCAUGGCCGAAAGCCUCAGGUUUUUGGAGGAAGGUUCGUCCGCUCCAAGUUAGUCGGGAGCUAAGGUGAGGCCGGAAGGCGUAGCCGAUGCACAGACGGUAGAGAUUCCGUCACCACCAAAAGAGUUAAGCACAGGGACACAUUUGAAGUCUCAGAGCCGGGUGUUGGUUCCGGUAGAGAUCGAGGGAAAUUAGUACCGAAGUCUGAGAUGGAAGAUGGCGAGAAAAGCUGUGUGUAUUUCUGAGGUGCCCGUACCGCAAACCGACACAGGUAGGUAGGAAGAAGAUUCUAAGGCCAACGGGAGAAGGGUUGUUAAGGAACUCGGCAAAUUGACCCCGUAACUUCGGGAGAAGGGGUGCUCCAGAGAUGGAGCCGCAGAGAAUCGGCCCAAGCAACUGUUUACCAAAAACACAGGUUUGUGCUAAAUCGAAAGAUGACGUAUACGAGCUGACGCCUGCCCGGUGCUGGAAGGUUAAGAGGAGAUGUGCAAGCAUUGAAUCGAAGCCCCAGUGAACGGCGGCCGUAACUAUAACGGUCCUAAGGUAGCGAAAUUCCUUGUCAGGUAAGUUCUGACCCGCAUGAAAGGCGUAAUGAUUUGGGCACUGUCUCAACAGCCCGCCCGGCGAAAUUGUAGUACCGGUGAAGAUGCCGGUUACCCGCGACAAGACGGAAAGACCCCAUGGAGCUUUACUGUAGCCUAAUAUUGGGUUUCGAUGUUGCAUGCACAGGAUAGAUGGGACACUGGGAAACAGGAGCUUUGGCUUCUGCGGAGUGGCCGUUGGGAUACCAUCCUUGCGAUAUUGGAAUUCUAACCUGCGGCUCUGAAUCGAGUCGGGGGACAUUGUUAGGUGGGCAGUUUGACUGGGGCGGUCGCCUCCUAAAGAGUAACGGAGGCGUUCAAAGGUUCGCUCAGCUUGAACGGAAAUCAAGCAAAAGAGUGCAAACGCAGAAGCGAGCCUAACUGCGAGACUGACGGGUCGAGCAGUAACGAAAGUUGGAGUUAGUGAUCCGGUGGUAUGUGAGUGGAAAUGCCAUCGCUCAACGGAUAAAAGUUACCCUGGGGAUAACAGGCUGAUCUCCCCCAAGAGUCCACAUCGACGGGGAGGUUUGGCACCUCGAUGUCGGCUCAUCGCAUCCUGGGGCUGUAUUCGGUCCCAAGGGUUUGGCUGUUCGCCAAUUAAAGCGGUACGCGAGCUGGGUUCAGAACGUCGUGAGACAGUUCGGUCCCUAUCUGUCGUGGGCGCAGGAUAUUUGAUGGGAGCUGUCCCUAGUACGAGAGGACCGGGACGGACGUACCUCUGGCGCACCAGUUGUUCCGCCAGGAGCAUAGCUGGGCAACUACGUACGGAUCGGAUAAACGCUGAAAGCAUCUAAGCGUGAAGCCGACCCAAAGAUAAGAUAUCCCA